Non-coding RNA from Pimephales promelas (fathead minnow), 508 nucleotides. Lineage: Eukaryota; Metazoa; Chordata; Actinopteri; Cypriniformes; Leuciscidae. The record is from RefSeq and is a predicted model, not a curated record.
CUAGCUAUAAUUUUGCUAUUCACAAAAUAGCAAAAUAGUGAAUUAACAUUCACAAUCUAAAUGUUUAUAUUUUUACAAGACUGUGAACUGUGAAGUACUGAAUUGACAGUUUUGCUGUGUUCAUGUUUUUUUUUUUUUUUUGGUAAACGGGGGCUCGAUUACACACUGAAGCCACUGAGCCCCUAACAAUAUGACAAUCAGUUUGCCGCAGUAAGAACCUUUCUUUUACGAUCUAUGGUUAGAACACAGCAUGAAGUUACAAACUCGUGUACAGUAGGUGGCGGUAUGCACCUAAAAGUUGGUUGCAAUCCGACAAUAAUCAAGAGAAGAAGAAGAUUGCCGAAGUAGAAGUUACUCAGCCCACAGUUUGCUUGCUAGCAAAGUCAUCGACUACCGUCGUAUAACAAGCUUUAUGGAAAAGAACGUGACAUACAACAUGCCUGGAUUGGUUUGGUGCACCUCCUCAGACAAGAAGCCAAAAAGUAUGGUGUCCUUGAUAACAUAUCAU